Felis catus (domestic cat) is the source of this 85-nucleotide transfer RNA. It matches the Rfam family "tRNA". Rfam says of the family: Transfer RNA (tRNA) molecules are approximately 80 nucleotides in length. Their secondary structure includes four short double-helical elements and three loops (D, anti-codon, and T loops). NCBI's taxonomy places the organism in Eukaryota, Metazoa, Chordata, Mammalia, Carnivora, Felidae. The record is from Rfam.
GCCUGGGUGGCUCAGUUGAUUGAGCAUCUGACUUUGGCUCAGGUCACCAUAUCAGGGUUUGUGAGUUCGAGCCCCACAUCAGGCU